This is a long non-coding RNA of Aricia agestis (brown argus), 151 nucleotides long. RefSeq lists it as uncharacterized. The record is from RefSeq and is a predicted model, not a curated record. The transcript is spliced from 2 exons. Lineage: Eukaryota; Metazoa; Arthropoda; Insecta; Lepidoptera; Lycaenidae.
ACUAAGAAUGGUCCUAGAGGCUAGAUAUUGUGUAGUUUUGUAUCUUUGGUUACAGUAGCAGCUCGCUAGUUGCACAGCUUAUACAUCAAAUCUCAUAACAUACAAUUAACAAACAAAGCUCGGAAGUAAUGUGCCAUUUCCCAAAAUGCGA